GAAAACAGAUGUUUUCCUUCUCACCAGUUACCUUGGAACCACUGAACUAUCAACUAGUUGUGCUGUGUAAAAAACAUUUUAAAUACAAGAUUCAUGGAAUCUUAAAGCACCUAUGUUUGCAAGAGAUACUGCUGUUCAAGAAAGGAAGAUGCACUUUUUAAUAUUUUCUAUAUGAAAAAUGAGUUAAUUUUGAUAAGAUGAUGAACAAAGAUGUUUGUUUAGAAACUUGCAGCGGAGUUACUAACUAUAGAGAACUAUGAAACCUACACUGGGUGAACUCUUCCUGAAUUAAUAACCGAUCUGAUAAUGAAGGGUUUUCCAGUUCUUUGGCUGCCAUCUUUGUGCCUGCAGGAUAAUCAGUGGCCCUUCCCACCCACUUUAGCUUCUAUGAAGAUGUCGAAACCACUAUAUUCUUUCAUUCCUGCAGCUUUAUUUAAGACAUGAUGAGCCUAAUAACUGUUCUUCAACAGCAGAGGUACAGUCCUGUGUGCCAGGAGCCCUUAGUUUUGCUGUGAGGUCAACUGUGGAACAUCUCCAACAAAAUGGUGACAGCAUCCACUUGCCUUACUCAGUGCACGCACUUCCCUUUGAUCUGUGGGGGGGAAUGCAAAAUGGGCUUGGGGCUGUCCUUUGGAAGCCUACCAUAAAGGAUAGGGUAGUUAGCAUGGCCCCAGGUGCUUGCUUGGAAAUAAGCUUCACAGAAACUAAACCAUACUUUUUCCUGAAUCACUACUGAAUAAUGGAGAGCUGUAGUUUAGUCUGGACAACGCUUCAUGCAAGAGACUAUGUAUUUUUCACUCGGUCUCAAACUGACUGCCUCCCAUCGUUCCAAGUAAGCUGUUAGAAAGUGGAAAAAAAGUGUAAAUUCUGCCUUAUGGUGGUUUAAGUUAGGGUAACAUUGUUGACUCGUGGCCAGACAAAUUUGGAAGUUAUUUGUCAGGCAGCAGAAUUGUUUAAAAGGUCAAAGUGCAUGACAUUUAUAAUAAUUUAAAGAGCAGUCUACUUCUGUAAUUUUUGCAGCAUAUUAUGUGCUGUGUCCAUGAAGGAAAAGCAAUUAGUUAUUCAUAACUAUUUCAAUAUAUUUUGUAAGUCUUAAGUUUUGGGUCAGUUCUGAACAGUAGGGCAGAGAACCAUUAAAUGAGGACUUUGGCUUGUUGCCUGUUUUGGCAGAAAAGUGCUUUUCCUUGCCCCUAAGCUCAGCUACUCCUGAUUGCAUGGCUAUGGUUAGUUAUUAGCCUUAGCUGGGUAGGGAAGAUAUGGAUCUACUGGUCAGACAGGCUGCGUAGGAGGAGCACUAAGAGUUUAUUUGAAAAGGUGGAGUCUGUAGUAUUUGUAAGCCUGUAUCUCGGCCAUGGACUGGGACUGACUCCAUCUUACAAGAAACAGAUGGCAAAGAGGAGUUGACAGACCUGGCAAAGGCUUGCCUGUACCCUCUGUUGGGGCGGGGGCAAUUAAACAGCCAGACAGACUUAGUAGUUGGUUUGAUCUCUAUUUUACAUUUGUAAAAUGGUGAUUCGUGAUUUCAAAGGCAGGCCAUUGGGGGAAAUAUGUAUUUGAUACUGUGGUAAUGAGUUGCAUGAGAAUCUUAAAUGUGAGAAAGACAAACCAGUGCAAGUCUUGUUAGGAUGGGAUCAGCAAGGUUGGCUUUUGGCCUUUUCGAACUCCAACAUGAAAGAGUAUUGGUGUGUUGGGUUUGUUUAGGCUUUAUUCACUGGCCUUCACCAUGCUAUGAAGAUGAGAGUUAAAAUUGGAGAAGAGAUGAGAAAAAAGUAGCUUCUGUCAGAAAUAAUUGUUGAGAAGCAAUGUCUGUGGUGUUAAUUCUCUUCUUCCUCUGAUGCAUGUAAAGAAAUAGUUUCCAUGACUGAAAAUCUUAGUUAUUUAGAGCUGCAUCUUUCAACUGUUUUUUGAGAAAAUUCUAGAAACAAGGCCAAAUGUGUUAGUACCUUGGAUAAUAAAUAUAUUCUGUGUAUCUGUGUACAGCAUGAGAUAGAGAAGCAACAUCAUGCAUCUACACGAAGGUACAUUUUUUUUAUUACGAGUUUGCUUCAAAAUUACCCAAUACUUGGUUUGGAAAUGCUUUUUGUCUCCAAAAAUUACCAAGGUUUCAUGUUGUUGAUGAAAGAAAACACAUUUAUACAACUAAAAAGUUUCUUAACAGGAAGAGCCAGGAUGUGAAUAAGAAAGGGCCAUCCGAAUCUGUAACAGUAGCAAUAAUAUCUUGAGGCGAAGCUGAGGAUUUUUUUUCAUGUUUGUGCCCAAUAUAUGUGAGCUUCCCCUACUCCCCUCAACCUUCGGUUCAUUCACAAUCCCAUGAAUAGUUUAGUAGAUUUUUUUUGUCCUAAUUUACUUUUGUCGAUACUUUCUCUGAAGCUGAGGAGCUCACCAACUCAAAGGUCUAUUAAAAGCCUAUUUCCCUGUAGCCAUCAAGAAACACCUACCACCUUGUGGUGAGAGGUGAUACUAUAGCCCUCACUUUUCCCUUGAAAAUGCAGCAACGCUGAGGGCAAGCGAGCCCGUCUGUAGCUGCAGAGACCCAGCAGGGAUAUCCAAAGGCAACUGCGGUGGGGAUGAUGGUGUAGCUAAGGUGCGAAGGUGUAGUCCUGAGGAUCUUGGGUUUGGUCACAGUCUCUAGUUUGGAGAACAUCACACAUUUUUUUGUUUUGCACAGAUGCGUGGUGUUUCUUUUUUUUUUGUCUCCCUAGCUGGAUAAGGACUGAGACACUAUGUAUGUGUAGACCAUGACAUGAUCAUCUACUGAGGGGGGCAGACAGGGCAGGUAUAGGCACAGGACUGCUCCAGUAUCUAUUGCAAUGCAAAUGAAGAAGUGAUCCUGACUACUUUCAGAAUCCUAGAGCAUUGUGUCACUGAUUUAAAAAAGAAGGGACGAGUAUGUUUUAAGGGUUAUAUGGCCUAUAAUUGGUUUUCAAGAGGGCUGGUGACUUUUCUGUCACUCAUUUGUCCUUUGGCCCUCAUCUGUAUCUUGUUUACUCUUAUGCUUCUUUUCAACCUUUCGCUUUAAAAAGCAGUCACUGCAACAAAAAAAUAGACUACUUACUAGUUUCUGAAGAAGCAGUAACAUUUUAAGCUUUUGAAUGGGUAAGCCAAAUUAAAAAAAAAAAACAAAAAACAAAAAACAAACAACCUUUUUAUUUUGUUCCCUGUGAUUUGUAAGAUUUGUGCUUUUAGGCUUUAAACUGAAAACUGGAAGAUCUGGAGCUAAGUAUUGACCUAUCUAGGAAGAGUUAAUGGAAGGCCACUGAUUAACUUGUAACUAAAUAAUAGCUGAACCAGCUGGGCUGUCAACUGAGAUUUUAAUGUUGGUGUACCAGGAAGUGGUGACUCAUGUGCACUUUGAAUCUGAAGCCUUUCAAAGAAGCUAGGGGAAUAAUUUCAGAAAGUGCUGUAAUGCACAAACAGCUCCACUAAAGCUAUGGAAGACACAACAUCAGGCUUUUCUGCUGAACAGUACAGUGUGUCAGAGGCUUCACCCCUGUAGCCUGUACUACUCUAUUAACUAGGGGAAGAAAUUAGUUAUUCUGGUACCACACGACAAUAUGAAAAAGAUUAGCUGAGUCUUCCACUGGGCAGGUUUCUUAAUGGGGGCCUAGUAACUUACUUUGCCUCACUGCAAAGCUAGAUUAUGUAUCCGUCAGCUCUGGGUGAGGACAAACAAACUUCUCAUAACCCAUAUUUUCGAUCUGCUACCAGCCUGUUAAGGACUCCGACGACACCUGCAGAGAGCCAUUGAGUUUAUUAAUAUUGAAUGGUCAUAGCGAUAUGUACAGUGAGGAGAAGCUUCUGGUUCUGGAUAGGAUUUUUCUUGCAGGAUGGAUAUUCAGGAAAUAAUUCAUUAAAAUAUACUACGUGCUGCCAUGGAUCGUGUUGUGGAGGCCCAAAAGUGGUGUCAUUGACCUAAAAAUAAAUUGGGAAAAUCCA
Molecule: long non-coding RNA, 3936 nt
Organism: Tyto alba (common barn owl)
Lineage: Eukaryota; Metazoa; Chordata; Aves; Strigiformes; Tytonidae
Exons: 2
Source: RefSeq, a predicted model, not a curated record